Molecule: ribosomal RNA, 207 nt
Filed under: uncultured bacterium
Lineage: Bacteria
Description: partial 16S ribosomal RNA
Rfam family: Bacterial small subunit ribosomal RNA
Source: RNAcentral
CGCGCAGGCGGUCGGAUCAGUCGAAUGUGAAAGCCCCCGGCUCAACUGGGGAGGGUCAUUCGAUACUGUCCGACUCGAAGGCAGGAGAGGGAAGCGGAAUUCCCGGUGUAGUGGUGAAAUGCGUAGAUAUCGGGAGGAACACCAGUGGCGAAGGCGGCUUUCUGGCCUGUUCUUGACGCUGAGGCGCGAAAGCUAGGGGAGCGAACG